CCUACGGGAGGCUGCAGUGGGGAAUAUUGGACAAUGGGGGCAACCCUGAUCCAGCCAUGCCGCGUGUGUGAAGAAGGCCCUCGGGUUGUAAAGCACUUUCAGUGAGGAAGAACGCCUGGUGGUUAAUACCCAUCAGGAAAGACAUUACUCACAGAAGAAGCACCGGCUAACUCCGUGCCAGCAGCCGCGGUAAUACGGAGGGUGCGAGCGUUAAUCGGAAUUACUGGGCGUAAAGCGCGCGUAGGUGGCUUGAUAAGCCGGUUGUGAAAGCCCCGGGCUCAACCUGGGAACGGCAUCCGGAACUGUCAAGCUAGAGUGCAGGAGAGGAAGGUAGAAUUCCCGGUGUAGCGGUGAAAUGCGUAGAGAUCGGGAGGAAUACCAGUGGCGAAGGCGGCCUUCUGGACUGACACUGACACUGAGGUGCGAAAGCGUGGGUAGCAAACAGGAUUAGAUACCCGUGUAGUC
This 465-nucleotide ribosomal RNA is filed under the name Vreelandella stevensii. Its description in RNAcentral is "partial 16S ribosomal RNA". It matches the Rfam family "Bacterial small subunit ribosomal RNA", at positions 338 to 795 of the family's 1533-position model. Lineage: Bacteria; Pseudomonadati; Pseudomonadota; Gammaproteobacteria; Oceanospirillales; Halomonadaceae. The record is from RNAcentral.